UACGUAGGGUGCAAGCGUUGUCCGGAAUUAUUGGGCGUAAAGAGCUCGUAGGCGGUUUGGCGCGUCUGCUGUGAAAACUCAGGGCUUAACCCUGAGCCUGCAGUGGGUACGGGCAGACUAGAGUGUGGUAGGGGAGAUCGGAAUUCCUGGUGUAGCGGUGGAAUGCGCAGAUAUCAGGAGGAACACCGGUGGCGAAGGCGGAUCUCUGGGCCAUAACUGACGCUGAGGAGCGAAAGCGUGGGGAGCAAACAGG
Molecule: ribosomal RNA, 253 nt
Filed under: uncultured bacterium
Lineage: Bacteria
Description: partial 16S ribosomal RNA
Rfam family: Bacterial small subunit ribosomal RNA
Source: RNAcentral